CGGGGAGGGAGGGAGUAAAAGAUAUGAGAGUUCCUUCAUUUGCUCUUUAGUUCCUCCAUUCCUUCCUUCAGCCCAGGGUGCUGGUAUUCCGAGGUGGGAAGGGAUCAGAACCCAGGUUGAAGGGCAGAUACCGAGUGCAUCAUCCUAUUUGAUCCAAUUCUGGUCUAUCCUGGGAUCUAGUAUAGGGGAGGCUGGGCAGAGCAAAGCGCAAGUUCAGUUCAGCUUGGCAGCCAGAGCUGUGUGGCAGGAUGCGCAAUACUGAGAGGGAGGAGCUGUUACUAAUGGGUGGACACCCCUGCCUGAUCAGAUGGCUUUAGGGGGUUAAAAAAAUAAAGCCAACAGGGAAGUAUUGGAAGCUAAUUAAGUAUAAAAAGCCUUUAGUAAGGUGAUUAGAAGGAAUCUCAUAACCGGAAGUGGACUAUGUUGGGCGGGUACAGGAGGAGCCUCUCUAAGAAAGCAAGCUUGAGUGACAGGAAAUUCCACCUUUCCCUGAAGGACUCGGGGAGCUGCAGGGUCUGGAAGUGGGGGUGGAAGACCCCGGCUUUUAUUGGGUUACUUGAAAAUUCCAUUAAGCCUCAGUUGCCUUCCGGGCUCAUUCUCAAAGGGUCAGCAGCGCAGCAGGGGAACCUCCCAGGUCUCCCACUGCCCAGACAGAUCUACUCACCUGUGAAUCAACUAAGAACCCCGGAUGGUGAAGAAAGAGUAAAGACUCCAGUUUUAAGAAGAAUUCCUGUGUUUGUUCCUGAUACAGAAACUUGGAGAAGAGCAAUAAGAAGAAUGAAUUCUGCUUUGGUAAAUGAUCCCCAGGUCAGUGUCCUGUCCUCCUUUCUCUAA
RNAcentral lists this long non-coding RNA (834 nucleotides) under Rattus norvegicus (Norway rat). Its description in RNAcentral is "long non-coding RNA NONRATT031510". The record is from RNAcentral. Lineage: Eukaryota; Metazoa; Chordata; Mammalia; Rodentia; Muridae.